GAUGAACGCUGGCGGCGUGCCUAAUACAUGCAAGUCGAGCGAACGGACGAGAAGCUUGCUUCUCUGAUGUUAGCGUCGGACGGGUGAGUAACACGUGGAUAACCUACCUAUAAGACUGGGAUAACUUUGGGAAACCGUAGCUAAUACCGGAUAAUAUUUUGAACCGCAUUGUUCAAAAGUGAAAGACGGUCUUGCUGUCACUUAUAGAUGGAUCCGCGCUGCAUUAGCUAGUUGGUAAGGUAACGGCUUACCAAGGCAACGAUGCAUAGCCGACCGGAGAGUGUGAUCGGCCACACAGGAACUGAGACACGGUCCAGACUCCUACGGGAGACAGCAGUAGAGAAUCUUCCACAAUGGGCGAAAGCCUGACGGAGCAACGCCGCGGGAGUGAUGAAGGUCCUCGGAUCGUAAAACUCUGUUAUUAGGGAAGAACAGAUGUGUAAGUAACUGUGCACAUCUUGACGGUACCUAAUCAGAAAGCCACGGCUAACUACGUG
This 497-nucleotide ribosomal RNA is filed under the name uncultured bacterium. RNAcentral's name for it is "partial 16S ribosomal RNA". It matches the Rfam family "Bacterial small subunit ribosomal RNA", at positions 28 to 507 of the family's 1533-position model. The record is from RNAcentral.